This 180-nucleotide ribosomal RNA is filed under the name uncultured bacterium. RNAcentral's name for it is "partial 16S ribosomal RNA". It matches the Rfam family "Bacterial small subunit ribosomal RNA", at positions 397 to 569 of the family's 1533-position model. The record is from RNAcentral.
CCGCGUGAGUGAAGAAGGCCUUCGGGUUGUAAAGCUCUUUUGUCAGGGAAGAAACGGUGGACUCUAAUACAGAUCACUAAUGACGGUACCUGAAGAAUAAGCACCGGCUAACUACGUGCCAGCAGCCGCGGUAAUACGUAGGGUGCAAGCGUUAAUCGGAAUUACUGGGCGUAAAGCGUG